Molecule: non-coding RNA, 394 nt
Filed under: Cephalotus follicularis
Lineage: Eukaryota; Viridiplantae; Streptophyta; Magnoliopsida; Oxalidales; Cephalotaceae
Description: Eukaryotic small subunit ribosomal RNA
Rfam family: Eukaryotic small subunit ribosomal RNA
Source: Rfam by way of RNAcentral
AUUAAGCCAUGCAUGUGAAAGUAUGAACUAAUUCAGAAUGUGAAACAGCGAAUGGCUCAUUAAAUCAGUUAUAGUUUGUUUGAUGGUAUCUGCUACUCGAAUAACCGUAGUAAUUCUAGAGCUAAUACGUGCAACCAACCCCGACUUCUGGAAGGGAUGCAUUUAUUAGAUAAAAGGUCGAAACGGGCUCUGCCGUUGUUUCGAUGAUUCAUGAUAACUCGACGGAUUGCACGGCAAUAAUGACGACGACACAUCAUUCAAAUUUCUGCCCUAUCAACUUUCGAUGGUAGGAUAGUGGCCUACCAUAGUGGUGACAGGUGACGGAGAAUUUGGGUUCUAUUCCGAAGAGGGACCUGAGAAACGGCUACGACAUCCAAGGAGGGAAAUGCAAGUG